Long non-coding RNA from Anolis carolinensis (green anole), 808 nucleotides. RefSeq lists it as uncharacterized. Lineage: Eukaryota; Metazoa; Chordata; Lepidosauria; Squamata; Anolidae. The record is from RefSeq and is a predicted model, not a curated record. The transcript has 2 exons.
CUGAAAAGGGGGCAAUGGGAAUACAAAGCAGGUCAGAAAAUCACACACACACAGUAUAUAAAGGUGAGCCUCUGAGUACUGGAGCAUAAUCAGGGCUUUGAUACCAAUGUGUGAUAGUUGUAACUAAUUUGACAGAAGAGGGCUCGCCAGAGGCAAAUUAUUCCAGUGAGAAAUUCCCUUCUGCUACCUAGAGACUUGUUUCGCUUUUUUAAAAUAUAAAAUUGCAAAUGUUUAUUUUAAAAUAGGUGAUUGAAACUGUUGUCUCAGCACUUUCCCCAAACUUCCUUACCUGUAAUGCAGAGCUAAGCAAAUGGCAAAAUUGUCCUAUUUUAAAGGGCAAAGCUUUUAAGACAGACUGGGGUUGGGGGUUGUCAUAUACCCACAGAGCUAUGCAUCAAGAAAACAGGCAGGAGUGGUGUCUUGCAGCAGAUCAAUAGCCUUAGAUGUUUUGCUUCCACAAAAACCACAGGUUCAGAUCCUGGCGUAUCCAGCUUCCAGAAGCCCAGACGAGACACAGAUGGGUUGUAGGCAAAUUCAGAAGCUUUAUGGCCAAAGAGGAUGUCAGCAGUGAUAGUACUCUAAGGAACUGAGCAAUUAUGAACAUGCAGAUUGAUUUAUAGCACUUUGACAGCUAUUCAGGACUACUGUACUUGUUUCUGAUUGGUCCAAAAUGUGGUUGGUCUGGACUCUGUCCGGCAUCAUUGCUGGUUGGUCCUGGCCAUGGCAGGAAACGUCAAUAAACUGUCAUUGGAUUAUUUUGAAGAUUUGUGUUUUUUUAUUGAAUCACCCAGGAGAAGAAGGGCGCGAU